Molecule: ribosomal RNA, 797 nt
Filed under: Staphylococcus aureus
Lineage: Bacteria; Bacillati; Bacillota; Bacilli; Caryophanales; Staphylococcaceae
Description: bacterial SSU rRNA
Rfam family: Bacterial small subunit ribosomal RNA
Source: RNAcentral
UUUAUGGAGAGUUUGAUCCUGGCUCAGGAUGAACGCUGGCGGCGUGCCUAAUACAUGCAAGUCGAGCGAACGGACGAGAAGCUUGCUUCUCUGAUGUUAGCGGCGGACGGGUGAGUAACACGUGGAUAACCUACCUAUAAGACUGGGAUAACUUCGGGAAACCGGAGCUAAUACCGGAUAAUAUUUUGAACCGCAUGGUUCAAAAGUGAAAGACGGUCUUGCUGUCACUUAUAGAUGGAUCCGCGCUGCAUUAGCUAGUUGGUAAGGUAACGGCUUACCAAGGCAACGAUGCAUAGCCGACCUGAGAGGGUGAUCGGCCACACUGGAACUGAGACACGGUCCAGACUCCUACGGGAGGCAGCAGUAGGGAAUCUUCCGCAAUGGGCGAAAGCCUGACGGAGCAACGCCGCGUGAGUGAUGAAGGUCUUCGGAUCGUAAAACUCUGUUAUUAGGGAAGAACAUAUGUGUAAGUAACUGUGCACAUCUUGACGGUACCUAAUCAGAAAGCCACGGCUAACUACGUGCCAGCAGCCGCGGUAAUACGUAGGUGGCAAGCGUUAUCCGGAAUUAUUGGGCGUAAAGCGCGCGUAGGCGGUUUUUUAAGUCUGAUGUGAAAGCCCACGGCUCAACCGUGGAGGGUCAUUGGAAACUGGAAAACUUGAGUGCAGAAGAGGAAAGUGGAAUUCCAUGUGUAGCGGUGAAAUGCGCAGAGAUAUGGAGGAACACCAGUGGCGAAGGCGACUUUCUGGUCUGUAACUGACGCUGAUGUGCGAAAGCGUGGGGAUCAAACAGGAUUA